Tachyglossus aculeatus (Australian echidna) is the source of this 138-nucleotide small nucleolar RNA. NCBI's taxonomy places the organism in Eukaryota, Metazoa, Chordata, Mammalia, Monotremata, Tachyglossidae. The record is from RefSeq and is a predicted model, not a curated record.
CCCCUCUCAGGGUCGUGCUUGGAGAGUUUCCAGUACUCUACCAGUCUUGGCUACAGGAGGGAGUGUGAAACAGUGGUCUACCCAUUCCGUUCCUAGCUUGGGCAGUGGCUAGAGAAUGGAAGGCAAUCUGCUACAAGU